GCCUUAGCGAGGCCAUGGGGGAAAAAGUCUAACUGGCGGAACUCCUGGGAACUGGGGCGAUGGGCUCUUAGUAUCGGAGGAUUGGAGCCAUCUGAUUUUUACCUGAAAUUCCUUAGUCUCUCCUGUGUUGGGGAAAUGAGACCGGGACUUGCUGUGUUGCCCAGGCUGGUCUUGAACUCCUGGUCUUAAGCAAUCAUACUGCUUUGGCCACCCAAAGCACUGGGAUUACAGGCGUGAACCACCACACCCAGCUCUUAAAACCACAGUAUUUCUAGAGACAGCAUCUCGUAUGUUGCCCAGGCUGGCCUUGAAAGCCUGGCCUCAAGCCAUCUUCCUGCCUCAGCCUCCCAAGUAGCUGGGAUCACAGGGUUGUGGCAUCACAGCUGGCUAUAUUCUUAACAUUAUUUUGUAACCAUUCCAACCCCCAGAAAUUUCUCUCUGGCUGACUUGAUCCACAGCGCCUCCAUCGCCAUCCCUGAGUGCCUUGUUGUGGAAAAUCUUACUUUAUCUUGGUUCUGUUUGGUAUAAUCGGGGAAAGUCUGUAUUCUUUCAUUAUGUAAAACAACUUAUCUCUCAUUGUUUCAUCUCCUUUCUGAGCUCUGCUCUGCCAGCUCUCUUUCCAAAACCAAAAUGGCUCUUCAAGUUAUUUUGUAAAUAAUAAUGGGCCAUCUACUUCUUAACAUAAAUGAAUG
Molecule: long non-coding RNA, 692 nt
Filed under: Homo sapiens (human)
Lineage: Eukaryota; Metazoa; Chordata; Mammalia; Primates; Hominidae
Description: HSALNT0388275
Source: RNAcentral